This 699-nucleotide ribosomal RNA is filed under the name uncultured Enterococcus sp. RNAcentral describes it as "bacterial SSU rRNA". It matches the Rfam family "Bacterial small subunit ribosomal RNA", at positions 58 to 728 of the family's 1533-position model. Lineage: Bacteria; Bacillati; Bacillota; Bacilli; Lactobacillales; Enterococcaceae. The record is from RNAcentral.
CAAGUCGAACGCUUCUUUCCUCCCGAGUGCUUGCACUCAAUUGGAAAGAGGAGUGGCGGACGGGUGAGUAACACGUGGGUAACCUACCCAUCAGAGGGGGAUAACACUUGGAAACAGGUGCUAAUACCGCAUAACAGUUUAUGCCGCAUGGCAUAAGAGUGAAAGGCGCUUUCGGGUGUCGCUGAUGGAUGGACCCGCGGUGCAUUAGCUAGUUGGUGAGGUAACGGCUCACCAAGGCCACGAUGCAUAGCCGACCUGAGAGGGUGAUCGGCCACACUGGGACUGAGACACGGCCCAGACUCCUACGGGAGGCAGCAGUAGGGAAUCUUCGGCAAUGGACGAAAGUCUGACCGAGCAACGCCGCGUGAGUGAAGAAGGUUUUCGGAUCGUAAAACUCUGUUGUUAGAGAAGAACAAGGACGUUAGUAACUGAACGUCCCCUGACGGUAUCUAACCAGAAAGCCACGGCUAACUACGUGCCAGCAGCCGCGGUAAUACGUAGGUGGCAAGCGUUGUCCGGAUUUAUUGGGCGUAAAGCGAGCGCAGGCGGUUUCUUAAGUCUGAUGUGAAAGCCCCCGGCUCAACCGGGGAGGGUCAUUGGAAACUGGGAGACUUGAGUGCAGAAGAGGAGAGUGGAAUUCCAUGUGUAGCGGUGAAAUGCGUAGAUAUAUGGAGGAACACCAGUGGCGAAGGCGGCUCU